Molecule: ribosomal RNA, 1134 nt
Filed under: Isochrysis galbana
Lineage: Eukaryota; Haptophyta; Isochrysidales; Isochrysidaceae
Description: partial Bacterial large subunit ribosomal RNA
Rfam family: Bacterial large subunit ribosomal RNA
Source: RNAcentral
GCGAAAGCGAGUCUGAAUAGGGCGACAGUUAGUGGGGGUAGACGCGAAACUUUGUGAUCUACCCAUGACCAGGAUGAAGUGUCGGUAACACGACAUGGAGGUCCGAACCAGUUUGCGUUGAAAAGCAUUUGGAUGAGUUGUGGGUAGGGGUGAAAGGCUAAUCAAACUAAGAGAUAGCUCGUACUCCUCGAAAUGUUUUUAGGAACAGCCUCGGAGUUAAGUAAUGCAUAGGUAGAGCUACUAAUUGGGUAAGGGGGUGUCAAAGCCUACCGAACUCAGAUAAACUCCGAAUGAUGCAUUAUAUAUCCGGGAGUGAGGCCUUGGGUGCUAAGGUCCUAGGCCAAGAGGGAAAAAACCCAGACCAUCAGCUAAGGUCCCCAAAUCUGUAUUAAGUUGAGCUAACAAGGUUCUAUUGCAUAGACAGCUAGGAUGUUUGCUUGGAAGCAGCAAUUCAUUUAAAGAGUGCGUAACAGCUCACUAGUCGAGCGAUCGUGCGUGGAUAAUAAUCGGGCAUUAAGUAUAUUGCCGAAGCUAUGACAUCGAAAGAUGGGUAGGGGAGCAUUCUAUGUGCGUUGAAUGUGUUGGGUGACCAACGCUGGAGCGCAUAGAAAAGCAAAUGUAGGAAUAAGUAACGAUAAAGCAGGCGAGAAACCUGCUCACCAAUAGACUAAGGUUUCCUAGGCGACGCUAAUCGUCCUAGGGUUAGUCGGGACCUAACGCGAACCCGAGAGGGGUAGUGGAUGGAUAAUGGGUUAAUAUUCCCAUACUUGUUAUAACUGCGAUGGGGUGACGGAGUGAUGAACGAACCGCGUACAGACGGAAUUGUACGUUAAAGGGUGUAGAUAUUGGGACUGUAGGCAAAUCCGCAGACCUAGUCGAACCUGAUAGUACCACAAAGCUUCGGCUGCGUGGAUAGUGUUCUUAAGCGCUUCCAAGAAAAACCUCUAAGCUUCAGGUUAUAACAACUCGUACCGCAAACCAACACAGGUAGUCAAGUAGAGAAUACUAAGGUGCUCGAGUGAUUCAUGGCUAAGGAACUAGGCAAAAUGGUCUCGUAACUUCGGGAGAAGAGACGCCAACUUCGGUUGGCCGCAGUGAAUAGGCCCAGGCGACUGUUUAUCAAAAACACAGGGC